RNAcentral lists this ribosomal RNA (253 nucleotides) under uncultured bacterium. RNAcentral's name for it is "partial 16S ribosomal RNA". It matches the Rfam family "Bacterial small subunit ribosomal RNA", at positions 524 to 776 of the family's 1533-position model. The record is from RNAcentral.
UACGUAGGUGGCAAGCGUUAUCCGGAAUUAUUGGGCGUAAAGAGCGCGCAGGAGGUUAAUUAAGUCUGAUGUGAAAGCCCACGGCUUAACCGUGGAGGGUCAUUGGAAACUGGUUGACUUGAGUGCAGAAGAGGGAAGUGGAAUUCCAUGUGUAGCGGUGAAAUGCGUAGAGAUAUGGAGGAACACCAGUGGCGAAGGCGGCUUCCUGGUCUGCAACUGACACUGAGGCGCGAAAGCGUGGGGAGCAAACAGG